RNAcentral lists this ribosomal RNA (97 nucleotides) under uncultured bacterium. Its description in RNAcentral is "partial 16S ribosomal RNA". It matches the Rfam family "Bacterial small subunit ribosomal RNA", at positions 1388 to 1482 of the family's 1533-position model. The record is from RNAcentral.
CACCGCCCGUCACAUCACGAAAGUAGGUUGUACUAGAAGUAGCUGGGCCAACUCGCAAGAGAGGCAGGUUACCACGGUAUGAUUUAUGAUUGGGGUG